This 446-nucleotide ribosomal RNA is filed under the name uncultured bacterium. Its description in RNAcentral is "partial 16S ribosomal RNA". It matches the Rfam family "Bacterial small subunit ribosomal RNA", at positions 338 to 795 of the family's 1533-position model. The record is from RNAcentral.
CCUACGGGCGGCAGCAGUCGAGAAUCAUUCACAAUGGGGGAAACCCUGAUGGUGCGACGCCGCGUGGGGGAAUGAAGGUCUUCGGAUUGUAAACCCCUGUCAUGUGGGCGCAAAUUAAAAAGAUAGUACCACACGAGGAAGAGACGGCUAACUCUGUGCCAGCAGCCGCGGUAAUACAGAGGUCUCAAGCGUUGUUCGGAAUCACUGGGCGUAAAGCGUGCGUAGGCUGUUUCGUAAGUCGUGUGUGAAAGGCGCGGGCUCAACCCGCGGACGGCACAUGAUACUGCGAGACUAGAGUAAUGGAGGGGGAACCGGAAUUCUCGGUGUAGCAGUGAAAUGCGUAGAUAUCGAGAGGAACACUCGUGGCGAAGGCGGGUUCCUGGACAUUAACUGACGCUGAGGCACGAAGGCCAGGGGAGCGAAAGGGAUUAGAUACCCCAGUAGUC